CAUGACCACAAGUUCUAUAUUUCAUUAUUCCAAGAAUGUUUCUUGAUGUCCUCAUCUGCAAAUAAUUGACAAUAUCACCCUUCAGUGAAAUGCUUUUGAAAAUCUCAACUCCACUUGGUCUCCAUCUAAUUAAUUCAACACAGGAUCUGAUCACCCAACCCACAAGAAUUCAAGCUCUGUUAGUCCUGAUCUGCUCUGUUAAUUAACAACCCUUACUCUGAGUGAAUGAAGACACACUAAGGGCUAAUAUUCUAGAACUGGAAGAGAAACUAUCAAUGACUGUGUCUUCAUUUCCAAGCCCUAAAGUUCAGAACAGAGAUGAGUAGGCUAAUAAAUUGGUGUCUCCUUCAAACCACUACUUGUAGGAUCUUUAUUAGAGGGCAGACUGAGUUCUGUGUAAGGACGAAUUGAGCAGGACCACUGCCCUCCAUGUGCAAACAAUCCAGCUGGGGUACCUAAUUUACAUAUCUCAGUAGGAAAAACAGGAACCCUGCAGUAAGCCAUCC
Molecule: long non-coding RNA, 506 nt
Filed under: Bos taurus (domestic cattle)
Lineage: Eukaryota; Metazoa; Chordata; Mammalia; Artiodactyla; Bovidae
Description: long non-coding RNA NONBTAT019235
Source: RNAcentral